RNAcentral lists this ribosomal RNA (235 nucleotides) under uncultured bacterium. RNAcentral describes it as "partial 16S ribosomal RNA". It matches the Rfam family "Bacterial small subunit ribosomal RNA", at positions 96 to 334 of the family's 1533-position model. The record is from RNAcentral.
CGGCGGACGGGUGAGUAAUGUCUGGGAAACUGCCUGAUGGAGGGGGAUAACUACUGGAAACGGUAGCUAAUACCGCAUAACGUCGCAAGACCAAAGAGGGGGACCUUCGGGCCUCUUGCCAUCGGAUGUGCCCAGAUGGGAUUAGCUAGUAGGUGGGGUAACGGCUCACCUAGGCGACGAUCCCUAGCUGGUCUGAGAGGAUGACCAGCCACACUGGAACUGAGACACGGUCCAG